AAGGAUCAACAAUAUUACCUUUACCUAUGUAAUCUAACCCCCAAAACUAAUACUAAUGCAUUCAAUAGCUCAAAACCACAUCAAAUCCUUAACGCCUAAAAAGAACCAGCAGCCAUCAAACAACCAAGCUUCAAUCAAAUUCCAAGUACUGCAAUGGCUAACAGAUCAAAUCAUACGCCGAAAUUUAGAAAACAAGAUAGCAAAACUAAUUAAUCCUUGGAUAUGG
Molecule: unclassified non-coding RNA, 226 nt
Filed under: Hevea brasiliensis (rubber tree)
Lineage: Eukaryota; Viridiplantae; Streptophyta; Magnoliopsida; Malpighiales; Euphorbiaceae
Source: RNAcentral